CGGAGGGUGCAAGCGUUAUCCGGAUUUAUUGGGUUUAAAAGGGUCCGUAGGCGGGCUCGUAAGUCAGUGGUGAAAUCUCACAGCUUAACUGUGAAACUGCCGUUGAUACUGCGGGUCUUGAGUAAGGUAGAGGUAGCUGGAAUAAGUAGUGUAGCGGUGAAAUGCAUAGAUAUUACUUAGAACACCAAUUGCGAAGGCAGGUUACCAUGUCUUAACUGACGCUGAUGGACGAAAAGCGUGGGGAGCGAACAGGAUU
Molecule: ribosomal RNA, 256 nt
Filed under: uncultured bacterium
Lineage: Bacteria
Description: partial 16S ribosomal RNA
Rfam family: Bacterial small subunit ribosomal RNA
Source: RNAcentral